RNAcentral lists this ribosomal RNA (519 nucleotides) under Harmostes sp. WCW-2003. RNAcentral describes it as "partial 16S ribosomal RNA". The stretch from base 392 to 519 matches the Rfam family "Bacterial large subunit ribosomal RNA", at positions 2473 to 2600 of the family's 2925-position model. The record is from RNAcentral. Lineage: Eukaryota; Metazoa; Arthropoda; Insecta; Hemiptera; Rhopalidae.
GUCCUAUAGAAUUGUAAUUUUAGGUCUAAUCUGCCCAAUGAAUUUAUAUUUUAAUGGCCGCAGUAUUUUAACUGUGCAAAGGUAGCAUAAUCAUUUGUCUUUUAAUUGGAGGCUGGAAUGAAUGAUUGGAUGAAAAAUUAACUUUUUUUAUUUAAAUUUUGUGAAUUUAAUUUUUAAGUUAAAAAGCUUAAAUUUUUUUAUAAGACGAGAAGACCCUAUAGAAUUUUAGUUAUUAAGUUAUAUUAUUUUAAUUAGAAUUUAAUUUAUUUAAUUAAUUUAGUAAUUUUUGUUGGGGUGACAGUGAAAUUUUAAUAACUUUCAUUAAAAUUUUUCAUUAAUUUAUGUGAUUUUUGAUCCUUUAUUAUGGAUUAUAAGAUUAAAUUACCUUAGGGAUAACAGCGUAAUUUUUUCGGAGAGUUCUUAUCGAUGAAUAAAGUUUGCGACCUCGAUGUUGGAUUAAAGUAAGUUUUAGGUGUAGAAGCUUAAAUGAUAAGUCUGUUCGACUUUUAAAUCUUUACA